Molecule: transfer RNA, 74 nt
Filed under: Armatimonadota bacterium
Lineage: Bacteria; Bacillati; Armatimonadota
Also listed under: 3 other names
Description: Armatimonadetes bacterium (hot springs metagenome) tRNA-Lys
Rfam family: tRNA
About the family: Transfer RNA (tRNA) molecules are approximately 80 nucleotides in length. Their secondary structure includes four short double-helical elements and three loops (D, anti-codon, and T loops).
Source: RNAcentral
GGGCCGGUAGCUCAGCCCGGUAGAGCACGGGACUCUUAAUCCUGGGGUCGCAGGUUCAAAUCCUGCCCGGCCCA